This 584-nucleotide ribosomal RNA is filed under the name uncultured bacterium. RNAcentral's name for it is "bacterial SSU rRNA". It matches the Rfam family "Bacterial small subunit ribosomal RNA", at positions 338 to 916 of the family's 1533-position model. The record is from RNAcentral.
CCUACGGGAGGCAGCAGUGGGGAAUUUUGGACAAUGGGCGAAAGCCUGAUCCAGCAAUGCCGCGUGAGUGAAGAAGGCCUUCGGGUUGUAAAGCUCUUUUGUCAGGGAAGAAACGGUAUGGGCUAAUAUCCCGUGCUAAUGACGGUACCUGAAGAAUAAGCACCGGCUAACUACGUGCCAGCAGCCGCGGUAAUACGUAGGGUGCAAGCGUUAAUCGGAAUUACUGGGCGUAAAGCGUGCGCAGGCGGUUUUGUAAGUUUGUCGUGAAAUCCCCGGGCUCAACCUGGGAAUGGCGAUGAAGACUGCAAGGCUAGAAUCUGGCAGAGGGGGGUAGAAUUCCACGUGUAGCAGUGAAAUGCGUAGAGAUGUGGAGGAACACCGAUGGCGAAGGCAGCCCCCUGGGUCAAGAUUGACGCUCAUGCACGAAAGCGUGGGGAGCAAACAGGAUUAGAUACCCUGGUAGUCCACGCCCUAAACGAUGUCUACUAGUUGUCGGGUUUUAAUUAACUUGGUAACGCAGCUAACGCGUGAAGUAGACCGCCUGGGGAGUACGGUCGCAAGAUUAAAACUCAAAGGAUUGACGG